This is an RNA transcript of Quercus robur (English oak), 2718 nucleotides long. RefSeq lists it as uncharacterized. The transcript has 7 exons. Lineage: Eukaryota; Viridiplantae; Streptophyta; Magnoliopsida; Fagales; Fagaceae. The record is from RefSeq and is a predicted model, not a curated record.
AUCAUUAUUCAAUUUAACGGCUCUAACGGCUCGGCUUCUAAAACCCUUCCUUCCUUCCUUCUCUGCCUGAAUUCAAACCUAAACCCUAACCUCUCUCUCUCUCUCUCUCUCUCUCUCUCUCUCUCUGUGAAACCCUAAAAUCAAUCACGCAUAUGGCCACUACGGGCUUCUUCCAAACGAAUAUCGACUCGGUUUAUUCACAGAUCAAGCACGAAGAGAAGCAGAUCAGACUCAAUAGAAGAUGGUUGGUGGGGCUUCCUACAUCCAAAUCUAACCCAAAGAAAUUUGGAGGACCCAAUGUCUUGAAAAAUAGGUCUUUACCCGAGUCUUUGCUUAGGGAAGAUGAUAUAUUCUAUGAGAAUGUAAAAACACGUGUUGAAGAAGCCUUUGGAGCAUGUAAAGUCGGAGUGCAUAAUGCUACUAAAGUUGAUUUGGAAAUGUUUGACACACGCAAUUUAACAAGAAUAAUUUUCUCAUGCCUUGAUGAAUUGAAUAAUAGAGGUCUUCACCUUCUUACUCUGAUACUUACAGGAGGCUCAGUAAAGUUUGAGAAAACUCGUUGGAAGAUGAAGAAGGUAAUUGGAGAUCAUAUUCCAAAAGUUCUUAAAAGCCAAAAUUAUAAUCAUAAUCAAAUGGAAAUUUAUAGGCAGUUAUCCCAAAUUCUUAAUGAUCCGCAAAAUUUCCGAAAGAAAUGUGUGACGUUUUUGACUCCCAGAUCCCAGUUUCAUCAUACUGCUGUAACUAAUGUCCUGCAUGGAUUAGAGAACUUGCCUAUUGAGAUCCUGAUUGCAAUGAACAGGAAGCUUAAAGGUUCCAAAGUAAGCAUGCCUCAGUUGUCCACUCGCAAAAGUGGAUGGAAUCGAAAUGAUUUAAUUAUACGAGUGAGGAAUACUAGUGAAAAAAUGCUUUCAGAACUUGGUGUAGGGGAUGAGCUACAAGAGCCAUUAGCCAAAGCAAUGGCAAUACCAGGCUUAUUGCUGAAGAUAACACCAGGUUUUCAAAAUUCCUCCAUAACAGAUUUCUAUCCAGUCUCUUCAGAAAUAAGAACCUUGCAGAAUGAGAUAUCGAAGGCUAUUUGGUUACUAAAGACAAGGGUUAGGUUUUCAGAGUUGAAGAACUUGCAGCUUCUGCUAGACCCAAGUGCAAAAGUAUCAAAUCGGAGUUUACGCACAGCAAUAAGGAAAAUGUUAACUGUAUAUCUUGUUGAGUGCAGUGAUAUGGAUACCAUUCCAAAGUCGCUAUUGGAAACUCUUGCUGUUAUUAAUAGGUAUUCUCGAAGUACACUGCUUGGAUGCUUCAGAAAGGAGGAAAUUGGGGAGGAAAUUGAAUUAGAAACAGAAUGCAUAUUGAGUGUCAGUGCCCAGACAAAGCAGAUUGUGUUAGAUUUGCUGCCUGACCAUGAGUUUGAUGAAGAUUUUACUGAUGCGUAUAUGGAGGAGCUAGAAGAAAGUGAAGAUGAUGACAAUGAUGAUAAUAGUAGGAGCUCUCAGAGUAGUAGGUCUCACUGUAUGGAUUCAGAUUACCAUGUUGAAAGUACCGCAGAUUCGAUGCCCUUUGAUUACAAGUCACCUACAUCUGCAACUAAGGAGAAUGGAUCUUUCCAUUUCCUUACACCUGGAAACUGUUUAAAUGGUGCUUCUGUUGAGAGACCUGCACCUAAGGAAUUUACCAGAGUGGAUUCUGUUGAUCCUCUUGGUAUCAUUUCCUCUCCAUUCAGGGAAUCAAGAUCACUUAGCAGCACAAUUAACUUUAAUAUGAACCAACACAACUUUGAAAGCAUGAGUGAAUCCAACAUGCAUAGAACAAAAGGAAUUGAUUUUUGCUCACCUUUUUCACCAAAGGAAAGGUCAGGUGAAAAUUCUAUUGAGAGACAUGAUACUGAAUUUGACUCUGGAGUAGAUACAGCAAACCCACCUCCUUCUGUUUCUAAUUUGUCAUGUGUGAAUCCAAAAGCUACAAAUGGCAAGCAAAGUACAUGUAAGAACCAGUACCUUGCCAUCCAAGAAGUUUGUGAUGAAACAAGCAUGGUUGCCUAUAAUCUCAUUGGUCACUUGCUGGAGGAGUUUGCACAAGUAGAAGGCUUGGAUUUGGACUGGAGAGAUACUUUGUAUCUCAGAGGUGAUAAUUCAAUUGAAGAAGAUUCCAAAGAGGAAGAAAAAGAGAAGCCUGCAUCUAAGGCUGAUAAUGGAAGUUCAGUUAUUGUUCGGGUAGUUGAAGAGCUAAUUCCUUCCUUUCCUAAGAGUGGAAUGGAAAGAUUGAAGAUAUUGAUGGGCUUGUGAUAGCAUUUUUUUAGGAGUUGGUGGUACCUUUUUGAACACCCCCGAAGAGUUGUUCUGAAGUGCAUUUUGCAUAUGUUUACAAGCUUGCCCUGCUCCCAAACAUGGAGGCCACCCGUCUUGAGUCUUGUGGGUUGUGAGCUUUAUCAUGUGAUUGCGAAUCCUGUAUAGAUGAAGUUACCCAUAGUUAAUCUUCUGGACAUUCAAACUGGCUCAUUUCUAACACUGCCCGGAAAAGGAAGAUGUCAUAGGUGCCUUCAUAAGAGCUGAUAUCAUGAUUUAAACUUUAAAUCCUAUUGCUGUCUGUGUAUAAUGAGAAAUUUAUGCUGUGUAUCUAUUCAUUUAUUAUUUGUUCGUUUGUACAUGCAUAAUAAAUAAUAAUGCUCACUGGAUGUACAGCCGAUUUCAGUAUAAUUUAUAGCAGUUGCUUUUGAAUAAUUUA